GCUAGUUUCACUUUUAGACUACUCCAGUCGCGAGGAGAUUCCUUCCUGAUACAGGGCUGAAACCUGCCUCUCUGAAACGUCCGCCUGUGUGUCACAGAGCUUGGGCAAUAUGUUUGUAACCUUCAAAGAUGCCAAAGAAGAAUGGGGUGACACGACAUUCACUUGUCUAUCUAUAGCUCACCAGUUCUAUGACUUUAGGCAGGUAAGUCACUUAACCACCCUAAGGCCCCAUUCCUUCAUCUAUGGAGUAGUUAAUUAUCUGAUGCCCUCAAUGAAUCGUUGGGUAGAUCUAAUGGAAUAAUGGAUAUGAAAGGAC
RNAcentral lists this long non-coding RNA (316 nucleotides) under Vombatus ursinus (common wombat). Its description in RNAcentral is "lncRNA (ENSVURG00010020818.1)". Lineage: Eukaryota; Metazoa; Chordata; Mammalia; Diprotodontia; Vombatidae. The record is from RNAcentral.